Molecule: long non-coding RNA, 275 nt
Filed under: Elaeis guineensis (African oil palm)
Lineage: Eukaryota; Viridiplantae; Streptophyta; Magnoliopsida; Arecales; Arecaceae
Description: long non-coding RNA (EGUI_LNC026147)
Source: RNAcentral
GCCAAAUGUGAGAGGGUAUUAGCUUGGGCAUUCUCUGACCUUGGUAUUUGUAUGAUUUCUAGAUCUUCGAAGCUUUUUGAUAGUUCUUUUAUAUUUUAUAAAUAUUGAGAUAUUAUAGAAUCUUUAGGUUCAAAUUGAUCUCGCAGCUGUCCGACGAUCAGCUGUGAGUCGGUAAAGACUUUUAAGUCUUUUAACAUUAAGCUCUUUGGCCAUUUUGAGUCCAGUAAUAAGUGCUUCAUAUUUUGCUCCAUUAUUUGAAAUGUUAAAGUGAAAUC